This is a long non-coding RNA of Sinocyclocheilus anshuiensis, 161 nucleotides long. RefSeq lists it as uncharacterized. Lineage: Eukaryota; Metazoa; Chordata; Actinopteri; Cypriniformes; Cyprinidae. The record is from RefSeq and is a predicted model, not a curated record. The transcript is spliced from 3 exons.
UUUCUUUGGAAUGCCAGACACAUUGCAACCUUCAUUGACCUAGGAUCCUGGACUGAAAAAACAGGAAGAGACCUUGAGUGUUUUCCUCAACAGUGUACAGGGAAUUCCUGUGGCAUCUACAUGCUGAUGUAUGCUCUCAGCACCUGUACAUCAUGCCCACU